Molecule: ribosomal RNA, 301 nt
Filed under: uncultured bacterium
Lineage: Bacteria
Description: partial 16S ribosomal RNA
Rfam family: Bacterial small subunit ribosomal RNA
Source: RNAcentral
CAGCCGCCACGGUAAUACGUAGGUGGCAAGCGUUGUCCGGAAUUAUUGGGCGUAAAGGGCUCGCAGGCGGUUUCUUAAGUCUGAUGUGAAAGCCCCCGGCUCAACCGGGGAGGGUCAUUGGAAACUGGGAAACUUGAGUGCAGAAGAGGAGAGUGGAAUUCCACGUGUAGCGGUGAAAUGCGUAGAGAUGUGGAGGAACACCAGUGGCGAAGGCUACUCUCUGGUCUGUAACUGACGCUGAGGAGCGAAAGCGUGGGGAGCGGACAGGAUUAGAUACCCCAGUAGUCCCUGUCUCUUAUAC